AUCCCAGGACCCCAGGAUCACAUUCUGAGCAGAGAGCAGACUCUUAACAACUGAGCCACCCAGUGAUUUCCUGGAUCCAAAACAAAAUCUGUGUAUUUAUUUCUUUGAAAACAUCAUUUGUUGACCGUCCUUUCACUGCCAUGGAAUGAUUUGCCUUCUCAAUCCAGUGGAUUUUACUGGGAGCUUGCAUUUUCUGUGCCACUUUCUCCAACAAGUUCUAAAGGAAAAAAAGAAGAGGAUGCUAGACUAAUGUGCUUUUAGGGUUUAAUAAAGAUCCUCUCUCUCUCCUGCACCGCCUAUACUGGCAUCCAUUCACUAAAUAUUCAUUAAAUACCUACUCUACAGACAACUUUCAAGGCAAUGGAAUAUGCAAAGAAACGUCCACAGAAGUGGCAGCCCACAGCUCUCCAAUACAGCAAUACCACAGAACAGAUCAAACAUUCAUUACUGAUAAUAUAUAGUAUCAUGUACAAGUUACUCUUUCUUGAGUCAGUUUAAUAACGAACUGAAGAAUCUGCUUGAAUGUUGAAAUGAUAAACCAAAUGUACAGUCUAGUAUAAAUCCCAAAAUCACAAGAUUCAGAUAUUAAUCUUUCAUUCCCAAAUAAGAGUCAAUCCAUUUAGCAACUCUUUCCAGGGAGAUGAAUUCUGUCAAUGUGCUUUUAUUUUUCAGUUCUCCAAAGCAACACGUAACUAAGUCACAAAACUAGCAUUAGUCCAAUCAGCACCUUUUAAAGAGACUGAAUGUUGCAGGUAAUAUCUUAUUCCCAAGGCACUUUCAUUCACUCUCUCAUUUACACAAACAUCAAGUUAUAAUUCACCUUUUCACACAUUUCAUCUGCUGAGCCUGACACAAACAAUACAGGAUCUUUUAUACGAUAGAGAUCUUCGUCUCUAAGUUUAUGUUGCUGCUUUGGAUGGUGCAGUGGGUAAGAAAUACAAAUGAGACCUCGAACAAAAUCAUCAGCAUCAUCUGGCUCAAUAUGGCACAUUACAGAAGCAGCUGCUCUUGAGCCCAUUGAACGACCUAAAAUCAAUUAAAAUUAAGUUCAGUUUGAAAUAUAAACAUUCAUAUAUAGAAGUGGUGAUAAUAUGGCAAAUUAGAUUUCAUUUACUGUUCAUCCAUCAUAACUCCAACACUUAACUCCAAAAGGUGGCACUUAACAAGUUGUAAUACCCAUAAUGGACAUCUGUAGCUUCAUGAAAUGCUAAAAAUUGAUCCCAAGUUUAAAAAAAAAAAAGGAAUUUUUUUCCUGAAGAAUACUUGAAG
Molecule: long non-coding RNA, 1269 nt
Organism: Ailuropoda melanoleuca (giant panda)
Lineage: Eukaryota; Metazoa; Chordata; Mammalia; Carnivora; Ursidae
Exons: 2
Source: RefSeq, a predicted model, not a curated record